Molecule: non-coding RNA, 194 nt
Organism: Triticum aestivum (bread wheat)
Lineage: Eukaryota; Viridiplantae; Streptophyta; Magnoliopsida; Poales; Poaceae
Source: Rfam
AUACCUUUCUUGGCCUUUUGGCUAAGAUUAAUAUAGUAUCUGUUUUUAUCAAUUUAAUAUUUGAUAUGUGGGCCAUGUGCCCAUAAUGAUAUUAAAUUUAUUUUUUAUGGGAAAGGACCAUCACAAUGGCUUGCUAUUGGGGUUCUCAAGUGUCUUCUUGGUGUUGCACUACAGCUCAGGUAGGUGCACCCCAA